AAUAUAACACAGGGGGGCUGGAUUUGGCCAGCUGAGAUAAAGAACCUUAAUUCUUUGACCCUAUGAACCUGAACUGGAUCAUGCCAGCGUAGGAAGUUGUUUAUUGAUGAGCU
Molecule: non-coding RNA, 113 nt
Filed under: Clostridium amylolyticum
Lineage: Bacteria; Bacillati; Bacillota; Clostridia; Eubacteriales; Clostridiaceae
Description: TPP sequence
Rfam family: TPP riboswitch aptamer (THI element)
About the family: Vitamin B(1) in its active form thiamin pyrophosphate (TPP) is an essential coenzyme that is synthesised by coupling of pyrimidine and thiazole moieties in bacteria.
Source: Rfam by way of RNAcentral